UCGGGAAUUUUGGGCAAUGGGCGAAAGCCUGACCCAGCAACGCCGCGUGUGGGAUGAAGGCCCUCGGGUCGUAAACCACUGUCAGGAGGAAAGAAAAGUCGGCCGGAUAAUACUCGGUCGACCUGACGGUACCUCCAAAGGAAGCACCGGCUAACUCCGUGCCAGCAGCCGCGGUAAUACGGAGGGUGCAAGCGUUGUUCGGAAUUACUGGGCGUAAAGGGCUCGUAGGCGGCCAACUAAGUCAGACGUGAAAUCCCUCGGCUUAACCGGGGAACUGCGUCUGAUACUGGAUGGCUUGAAUCCGGGAGAGGGAUGCGGAAUUCCAGGUGUAGCGGUGAAAUGCGUAGAUAUCUGGAGGAACACCGGUGGCGAAAGCGGCUCACUGGACCGUAACUGACGCUGAGGUGCGAAAGCUAGGGGAGCAAACGGGAUUAGAUACCCCCGUAGUCCCUGAGCGGGCUGGCAAGGCGCAU
This 473-nucleotide ribosomal RNA is filed under the name uncultured bacterium. RNAcentral describes it as "bacterial SSU rRNA". It matches the Rfam family "Bacterial small subunit ribosomal RNA", at positions 355 to 825 of the family's 1533-position model. The record is from RNAcentral.